GGCCCAUCAAGACGCUGGCGCCAGCAAAGUGAGGGAGGGGCCAGGACAGUGUUCUUCUAGAGUUGGCAAACUAGCAGGUGGAGACCGAGUUGGGGACCUGACAGGAUGGAAAUGCUUACAGAACACAUUGAUCCAUUGACAGAGGAAAACACCACUCCGCUCCCGCCUUCCAGCUAUUGUGUAUGGUGAGGGCUUGGGGUGGUCCAAGAAAAUCUAUUGCCGAAGACUGAAGGACAACUUCCCAUCAGCCAGGACUAGGAUCCAUUGUUUUCCAAUGUUCCACACACACUUCCAACCAGCAACAGCAACCACAAGUCUCCAUCCAUCCAUCCAUCCAUCCCAAACAGGUAAACCUGGCAACAUUUUUGGCAUGACUUGCAAGCUAAUUGUCAUUCAGGCUGAUCCUGUAUUGAACUGAUUCCAACCAAAAACAUCUUCAGUGUCCUUGAAUAAUCAGCAAAAUUGCAAUGUAUUAUUGGCUGUUUCUCUCUUAAGUUCAUCUGUUUACACAGACUGACUCACUGUAUUUAGUCUCUGUGGCAUUUUGCUGUCUGAAGCAUAACAGGUGAAUAUUCAGGCAGUUCUCAUACCUGGGAUGAAUGUCCUGGGGAAUUAAGAGUAGUUUAAUCAACUUCAUUUUCACAAGCUGUAGUAGUAGAGAAAACAAAGGUGGAGAUUUCCAAAAGAGACUGAAGAGCAACUGAGUCCAAACAAUAAAUAACUCUGGACAUAUAAUCUAAGAGUCAAAAUUUCAGCUGGAAAAAAUAGAUGUUCCUCUAACCUCCUCCCCCCUCCAGAUCUUUAAACUAUUGUUCCAGAAUGUAUAUUCUCAAUUUUACAACACACAUUUACCAGAAGGGUGAAUUUAUAUUUAUUUAUGUGAAUAGCUGCACAUGAAUUUAAUAGCAUUUAACUAUUUGUGAAUCAGUAAACUAUUUACACAACUGAUGUACAUGUUAGAAAGGCAUUAAUCUAUAGUGGCAAUAAAAAUAAUUAGGUAAAACAUGCAGUAAA
Long non-coding RNA from Pantherophis guttatus, 1014 nucleotides. RefSeq lists it as uncharacterized. NCBI's taxonomy places the organism in Eukaryota, Metazoa, Chordata, Lepidosauria, Squamata, Colubridae. The record is from RefSeq and is a predicted model, not a curated record.